GAAUUUUGGACAAUGGGGGCAACCCUGAUCCAGCCAUCCCGCGUGUGCGAUGAAGGCCUUCGGGUUGUAAAGCACUUUUGGCAGGGAAGAAACGGCUCUGGCUACUACCUGGAGCUGCUGACGGUACCUGCAGAAUAAGCACCGGCUAACUACGUCCCAGCAGCCGCGGGAAUACGUAGGGUGCAAGCGUUAAUCGGAAUUACUGGGCGGAAAGCGGGCGCAGGGGGGUCCGCAAGAAAGAUGGGGAAACCCAAGGGUUAACCUUUGAACGGCAUUCUUAACCGGCGGGCUAGAGGAUGUCAGAGGGGGGUAGAAUUCCGCGGGUAGCAGUGAAAUGCGUAGAGAUGCGGAGGAAUAACGAUGGCGAAGGCAGCCCCCUGGGAUAAUACUGACGCUCAUGCACGAAAGCGUGGGGAGCAAAC
This 422-nucleotide ribosomal RNA is filed under the name uncultured bacterium. RNAcentral describes it as "partial 16S ribosomal RNA". It matches the Rfam family "Bacterial small subunit ribosomal RNA", at positions 359 to 773 of the family's 1533-position model. The record is from RNAcentral.